UACAGAGGGUGCAAGCGUUGUUCGGAAUUAUUGGGCGUAAAGGGCGCGUAGGCGGUGCGGUAAGUCUGUAGUGAAAUCUCUGGGCUCAACUCAGAGUCUGCUGCAGAAACUGCCGUGCUUGAGUGUGGGAGAGGUGAGUGGAAUUCCCGGUGUAGCGGUGAAAUGCGUGGAUAUCGGGAGGAACACCUGUGGCGAAAGCGGCUCACUGGACCACAACUGACGCUGAGGCGCGAAAGCUAGGGGAGCAAACAGG
RNAcentral lists this ribosomal RNA (253 nucleotides) under uncultured bacterium. RNAcentral's name for it is "partial 16S ribosomal RNA". It matches the Rfam family "Bacterial small subunit ribosomal RNA", at positions 524 to 776 of the family's 1533-position model. The record is from RNAcentral.